This 2441-nucleotide unclassified non-coding RNA is filed under the name Daphnia magna. Its description in RNAcentral is "glycoprotein 3-alpha-L-fucosyltransferase A, transcript variant X1". The record is from RNAcentral. Lineage: Eukaryota; Metazoa; Arthropoda; Branchiopoda; Diplostraca; Daphniidae.
GUCAAACAAGUCAGUCAGCCUUCUGCUUCGGUGCGAGGCCAACGGUACGCAGCAUUCAUCCGGCGAAUGAAUGUCUCUGACCAUUUGUGUCGUUUGUAAUUUCAGAGUAGUAGACAGGAACUGAAUCGGCCAAGUGAUGGUGGCUCUUUGUGAUUCGGCGCGACGCUAUUGAUUUUCUGGGCGGUGUAUCACGGGCGCCGCCAUAGUAAAUGGAAGAAAAGCGUCUUUCUUUACAAAUUUUGUCAGUAGUUUGUUGUCGGCGUUCGCGUUCACAUCCGUCUCCACAUCCUCCUUCAACUGUGAUAUGCCCAGAUGGAAUUGCUUUAAAAACAAUUCGUGUGACAUUUUAGAAGACGUACUGCCGUAUACAUUGCCGUGAAAAUGCCACGCGUGUCCGUUCGUCGACUAUUUGUCUACGCGAUCUACACUGUAGUGGUCACAUCGCUGGUCAUGUUGGCAUUUCACGUUCAGCAACAGAAUCCAUUAUGGCUGCGAGUUCUCGAGCAAUCAUCCGGCUCAGGUGGCUAUUAUCAACAAAAUAGCAAAGAAAUUGAAGAUGAAGCACCAGCACAUUUCGUUGUGGUCAAUAACGACGAGAAAACAUCUGUGGAUAAUGUGACCACCGCUAACAUCAAUCCCUUACGUAGCCAUGGUCUGCCAUGGUACAUUAAAAACGAUGGUUAUAGGCCAUCACAGGGCGAUGUGGUAGACAACAUCUGGCCCGAUGGCCGAUUAAAUGGUGACCGAAUCGAACAACAGCUGAUGGUUCCCACACGAGAUGCUGAUGGCAUUUCAGGUGAGGGCUCAUCUUUUCUUGCCGGUGUUGUGAAGCCGUUGAAGAAAAUUUUCUUGCCAAACGGAUUGGGUUCGUGGCAGACAAAGAGCGGACAGAAAGUUUUCACCGACCAAAAAUGUCCUGUGGAUCGGUGUUCGCUGACAAGCAAUCGCGAAGAAGCUGCCAAUGCAGACGCUAUCAUGUUUAAAGAUUUUUUUGCUACACCAAGUCAUCAAAGACCUCCUCAUCAGAUUUGGAUCAUGUACAUGUUGGAAUGCCCUUUGCAUACUCAGUACAUCCGAGAAAAAGACGUGUUCAACUGGACGGCUACCUACAAAUCGGAUAGCGAAUUGGUAACACCCUACGAAAAAUGGGUUUACUACGACGUAAAAGUCAGAAGGAAACCAGUGACAACCAAUUUCGCAGCCAACAAGACGAAACAAGUGGCCUGGUUUGUGUCCAACUGCGGAGCCAAAAAUAAUCGUCUCGAAUACGCACACAGCCUACAGAAGUAUAUAGAUGUCGAUAUCUACGGCAGUUGCGGAACCAAAAACUGUCCCAGGCACAGCGGGGACCAUUGCCUUGAUAUUUUAUCAACCGAUUAUAAAUUUUACUUGGCCUUCGAGAACUCUAAUUGCCGAGACUACAUCACAGAGAAGUUCUAUGUCAAUGGGCUUGGAUCUAAAGUCCUUCCCAUCGUGAUGGGUGCUCCAAGAAAAGAUUACGAAAAGCAUGCCCCAGAACAUUCUUUUAUUCACGUGGACGACUUUGCGUCGCCUAAAGAACUGGCCGAUUACCUCCACCGAUUGGACUCAAACGACUCGCUGUACAACGAGUACUUUGAAUGGAAGGAAACUGGCCAAUUUAUCAACACGUAUUUCUUUUGCCGUUUGUGUGCCAUGUUGCACGAAGCUCCUUAUUCACCGGCGCGCAGUUACGAAGAUUUCAACGAGUGGUGGCGAGGUGGCACAAACUGCAUUAAAGGAUCGUGGCGGGAUCUCGAAAUCCAUCGACGUAAAAAAAAGAAGAAGAUAAUGGAGUUAACGCAGGCAACAAGUUGAAUUGAUUAUUACAUUCCACUAUUUAAAUUCCGUGGCGAUUCGUAAUGCCAAUUCCAUGGCAGAGAUUGUCACGUUAUUUAAGAAACUUGAAGAAAAACAUAUACGCAUGUACGCACACACAUACAGUUCGUGGAGGAUUUAUAGGUGAGAAUUGGAAUGAGCAAUUAAACACCUGGGAUUUAAAAAGGUUUAAUGCCAUCCCAAUUUUGUUUGAAUUGAAGAAAAAAAAGGAUGUUUGUGAUUUACCCCAAAUCAAUUUGGUUAUUUUUUUCUCUGGGUGCUAGUCACUGAUACAGUGAACGUGUGUAUGCAAAUUUCUUUUUUUUUUUAUGUCUACCGCACACUGCGAUUCUAUUUUGUGUAACGUCAUUAUAUUUCAGACCAACGGGCGCACAUAACCCAGUCGCGAUUGAUUGCACAUAACUGUUAAAAAAAAAGAGGCCAUUUUGAUUGUUUUUCUGUUGAAGGUAUUUGGCUGUUCAGAUUUUGUUUUCAAAUCGUCAUCUGUAUAAUUGAAUGCCCGUUUUUUAAUCAUUUCGAAUGGAAUUUACUGUUACACUGGAUCGCUAACUGAAAAAUACACGAAAGGAUCGAUAUACCCGAAA